UACGAAGGGGGCUAGCGUUGCUCGGAAUCACUGGGCGUAAAGGGUGCGUAGGCGGGUUUUUAAGUCAGAGGUGAAAUCCUGGAGCUCAACUCCAGAACUGCCUUUGAUACUGAGAAUCUUGAGUACGGGAGAGGUGAGUGGAACUGCGAGUGUAGAGGUGAAAUUCGUAGAUAUUCGCAAGAACACCAGUGGCGAAGGCGGCGCACUGGCCCGUUACUGACGCUGAGGCACGAAAGCGUGGGGAGCAAACAGG
This 253-nucleotide ribosomal RNA is filed under the name uncultured bacterium. RNAcentral's name for it is "partial 16S ribosomal RNA". It matches the Rfam family "Bacterial small subunit ribosomal RNA", at positions 524 to 776 of the family's 1533-position model. The record is from RNAcentral.